RNAcentral lists this long non-coding RNA (357 nucleotides) under Amborella trichopoda. RNAcentral describes it as "long non-coding RNA (ATRI_LNC000545)". Lineage: Eukaryota; Viridiplantae; Streptophyta; Magnoliopsida; Amborellales; Amborellaceae. The record is from RNAcentral.
UAAAAUAUGGUUUAAUACCUCAUGAUAAUUAAAACCUUGUCACGAUUUUCACAUCUUUUCGGAAAAUCAUCAUUUUUCAAAAAAUUCGAUCAUGGAAAAAAAAAAAAAAAUUACAGCAAACUCAAACAAUAAAAAUUAAAAAUUGGGUUUAAUACAUCAUGAUAAUCAAAAUUUCACAUCUUUUCGGAAAAUCAUCAUUUUUCAAAAAAUUCGAUCAUGGAUAAAAAGAAAUAAAAAAAAAAAGUACAGCAAAUUUUCAAAAAAUUCGAUCAUGGAUUACAAAAAAAAAUUUGAUCAUGGAUUAAAAAAAAAAUUAACAAAUUUUCAAAAAGUUCGAUCAUGGAUUAAAAAAAAAAA